AUUCAACCUAAACGACAUUAUUAGUUACUGAAAAUUAAAUGCAGGCGAAAGACGUGUUUUUCGCGCUCGCAAACAUAGUUUAAUUUACUCUCAAUUUCAACAAUUUACUUGAUAGUCAAGAAAAGGAUGAUCCCUAAGGUACAAGCGCUACAGCGCCCCAUGCGUAGAUAUCGAUGGGAAACGUGGGGGAAGACCGACAGAAAAGGGAGGCUGAUCGGUCAUAUCGUGUGCCAUGUGCCGAAGGACCAAGCCCCAUUUUCGUGCGGUUUGUGCAACUUUCGCUGCACAGAAGUCGCCGACGUCAUCAAACACAUCACGAAAUAUAAGAGUCAUGUUGACGAAGCUAAACGUGCCGAAGUAGUCGACUACUCGCAAAUCUUGAGGAAAGCCGAAAAGCCCGUUUAAGCAGUGCCCCAGAUAAGCUGCGUAUAUGCAUCUUUCAUCCUAUUUAAAUGUUUAAAAACGCAAAGAAAUACAAUAUCAUGCGUAUUGAAAACGCAACCAAUUUGACUUUUAUGCACAUUCCUAAAAGUCAAUGCGUACGAUACAAUAGCUUUAAUAAAAAAAAUUCUUUGCUCGUUUUCGGUAUAUCCUCUUUGGAAUAUUAAUCUUAAUGCGACGUCGCUUUUAUUCAGCAAACGUCUGGAUGAAGGAGCAGGAAAACAAUCACAGUUAUUCAAACGCUCUGCGGACCAGAUUUCAUAGUUAAUUACAGCAUCUGACCAAAUUAUUUAUGGCAAACAUGCGUUUUCAAUCUGAUUUAAUCUGUCGCUCUUUGUGCAUGUAUUUUGUAAAGCGUCUGUACUUUCAGUUUCUACAACGAUGCGAAAUAAAAAUGUCGAAAGACGUCCGCGAUUGUUGCGCCAAAAUAUCAAUCGAUCGCAAACUUUUUGAACCAAGAAAGCAAGAGCCAUUAAGUGACAAAUCAUUCGUGUUAUUGAUUUUUUAAGUUUGAUGUUUAUAUUAUGCACAGUUUCAAGAACUAAAGAUGUUAUGAAACAUCAGUUUAUGACAGUUAAUUAUAACAGUUUAAAGUUUUAUUGAAUCAAUAAAAGUGUGCAGCUUCAACAGAAGUAAUCUGGAUCUAAAUGGAUACGUUGAAGUGACCUGGAAGAUUGGCUUUUAUUCAACGGGGAAAGCAGUAAAGAUUUAAAGGUACGAAUUUUUAUAACUCAUUUCACCCUAUUUCAAAACUGAAAUCACCCUAUUUUUUAAAAUCAAUGGGUGAAAACCCUAUUUCCCAAAUAAUUAUCUGGGACACUGGUUGAAGUCGACAACAUGAUGAAGUUGGAUGAAGGCGACCUGGAGUAAGCCUCCGAAGGCAUCUUUGAGCAAGAUUCGAAGGCUUUGUUUUACCCGACUGGAUGUCGCAAUGCAGAUUGCAAACAUCUUCACCCUCUGCUCCUGUCUCUGCGUUCAUGCGAGUGGAGAGGACCAUGGAAAACACUCCCAAUAACGCAACUAGUGUUGCACAAAGACCAUGUCACCCACCGCAAGUUUCCACCUUUCGGGCAGUUCAUGCGUGAGUUCCAAACCUGUGGCCAGUGACGAUCCCGUUUCCGAUGCCAAGGAUUAUGAGUAGCGUAACCCUGGACGUGAACAAGGAAGGAAACGCUCAAGUAGCAGGUACAAACGCUUUAACAGUCCGAAUUUAAAUGAACGCCCCGCUUACUGCUGAAAAUGAUUUUUAAGUGUUUGCAUCGAGGACUCGUUUAUCCAAGACUUGUGUUCGUCUGCAACCACAUAAACUACAUGGCCAGUCGCGUAACCCUUGCGAUAUAGACCUGCAAGCAAAUAUGUCGACAAAUUUCAAACUGGUAGCUCGUCACAGAAUGAGGUGCUCAGGUAAGCAUUUAAAGACUUGGUGAACCAGCUGAGUAGGGGUAAUAGGGAGAUACUUAAGACAAUUGAAAAGAACACUACUGAGUUGCGUCCAAUCAACAACAAAAUUGGGCCAUAUAAGUGAUGUCAUCAAAGCCCUCAGGUUAACCAAGACUUAGAAAGGCGGUCCAAGUUUAAGAAGCUUUAGAAGGAGCAGUUCUAAGUCGAAGAAGUAAGGCGUGAUAGUGGGUGGCAGUUCCACCGUACUCUCGCAGCUAAUAGCACAGGUCCAAUCCGAUCCAAUUAAAUUUAUCUACAUUGCCAUGUAACAUUUUCAAAGAGGAUGUAUUGUUGUUUUACUAUUUUUAAGUUGUUUUUUAUUGUUGUGAGUUUAUCUUAAACCAUUACGCUUUACCAUAUAAAUAAGAUAUUCAUCAGUAAACUGUUUUAGUAUUUGUUCUUAUACUAUUUGUUCAAUAAAUCCUAUUCCACCUAUUCCUACACAGUUUGGACCUACUCAAAAUGAUUGCAGUUUAUCUGAUUUCUCUUUUGUAGCUAUUGAUGUUGUUGGAAACAUUUUGGAUACAUAAAUUAAAGACUAAGAUUCCUAAUGGUCUAAAUAAUAAACUGCUUUAUAACAUUUAGAAUAUAAGCAUAAUUCACAAAUACAUUUGAUGUUUGCCUAUUACACUGUCCUUUUAGUAUUUGUUCCAAUUACAAGCUGAGUGUUGCAACAGGAGUUUUGCCAAAAAGACAAAUAGGAACAUUAAAAGAUCUGUAAUUUGGCUGUAAAUGAAACUUUACUUACCAAAUUCUUUAUUUAUCGGGCCAUGUUAAAUUACACCCCCGGAAACCCGACAUGCUGUGAGAAGUUGGACACGCUAGGAGAUGUAGCCGAUAUAUUUCAAAGAAUUUCGGUAGGAUUUCCCCGCGGCUGUCCAGGAUUGGCGAAAGAAACAGGAGGAGCUGCUCACCAAUCUCUCCAGACACGAAGACGCUGUAAGGUGACUCAUGGAGGAAUCCAGAAAGUCCUCUACAAGUAGGAGAAGCUCCAUAUGAAAGCCGAUGACAAUUUCCUGAACAUACUGCGGGAAACAUUUCACAGUGUAAAACUAUUUUCAGUUCAAAAACAUUUUGGUUUUCUAUAAAGAAAGGAAACAAAACAAACUUUCUUGAUAGAAGAUUCUUUAUUAUGAAUCCAAUGACGUGUUGUGUUUCCAUAUGACUUUCUCUUAUUAUUGGUAUAACAGCAAACAUGCAAACAUAAAAGAAUAAUUAAUGAUUCGUUUCACGGCCAAAUAAAACUUUACCAUUUGUUAUAAUACUAUCUGAAAUCAUAACUCGAACUCUGAAGUUUGUAUCACAUUAGUAAUGAUUUUCAAAUAAUUAUUAAAUAUCACCCUGUUUUCCGACGGUGCUUGCAUUUGUGAUGGAACUCGCAUAGUACUAUAUUCACAGAUAUUUAAAGGUUUCAGUUGUCAUCGUAAUUAAAGCUUAAAGUGAUAUUAUCUAACAUUAUAUAGGUGUCUAUCGCAA
Long non-coding RNA from Dreissena polymorpha, 3357 nucleotides. RefSeq lists it as uncharacterized. The record is from RefSeq and is a predicted model, not a curated record. The transcript has 4 exons. Lineage: Eukaryota; Metazoa; Mollusca; Bivalvia; Myida; Dreissenidae.